AGCAAUAGCAUUCAGGAUUUUUAUCUACAAACGGCCAGUCGUAUCGACAUAGGGCAAUCGUCGAUAUUCUUAUCUAAUCUUACAUUUACCUUCCCAUUUGGAAGUGUACAUUAGAAAUUUAAACACCAGUUUCUAGUAAAAAAAUAUUAAAAAUGUAUGGAACCUUGGCGAGGACUAGUAUUCUAGGGAGAAGUGUGAUGAGAAAUUUCAUAAGGAACGGUUCUCAUGGAGGUGUACCUGGCGAGAAUAUGCCGAUCGGCCUUAAGAGCCGUGCCUGGAUAACAUGGAACUUCUUUUGGUACACGGCAACUGGUUUUGGCGCACCAUUUGUCCUUCUAGCUCUCCAAAUGAAGAAGAAGUAAUUUGGGUAGUACCUGAAUAUUGAUACAGUGGUAAGUUAUAAAACUGUAAUACAACUCAAAAGUCAUUUAAUGAAUUACUAUAGCGUAUAGUUUGUAAAACUUCUUAUAAAUAAAUUAUUUUAAUUUAAUUUUGGUAGUUUUAUUUCAAAAACAUUUUGGGUGCGUUCAUUAAACUACCAUUAUCAAAGGGGCACACUUCCAAUUUAAGUGAAUAGGAACGCAGUGGUAGAUUUCUGAAAAAAAAAAAAAAGUACAGUGAUUCUUUGCAGAGAAAAUC
RNA transcript from Pararge aegeria (speckled wood butterfly), 639 nucleotides. It is a transcript of the gene named cytochrome c oxidase subunit 7C, mitochondrial-like, with no coding region annotated. Lineage: Eukaryota; Metazoa; Arthropoda; Insecta; Lepidoptera; Nymphalidae. The transcript has 3 exons. The record is from RefSeq and is a predicted model, not a curated record.